UACGGAGACUGCAAGCGUUACUCGGAUUUACUGGGCGUAAAGGGUCCGCAGGCGGCUAUGUGUGUCAGGUGUGAAAUCCUACAGCUCAACUGUAGAACUGCGCCUGAAACUACAUGGCUAGAGGCUCGGAGAGGGUAGUGGAAUUCCAGGUGUAGCGGUGAAAUGCGUAGAUAUCUGGAGGAACACCAACGGCGAAGGCAGCUACCUGGACGAGUUCUGACGCUCAUGGACGAAAGCGUGGGGAG
Molecule: ribosomal RNA, 245 nt
Filed under: uncultured Puniceicoccaceae bacterium
Lineage: Bacteria; Pseudomonadati; Verrucomicrobiota; Opitutia; Puniceicoccales; Puniceicoccaceae
Description: partial 16S ribosomal RNA
Rfam family: Bacterial small subunit ribosomal RNA
Source: RNAcentral